This 406-nucleotide ribosomal RNA is filed under the name uncultured bacterium. RNAcentral describes it as "partial 16S ribosomal RNA". It matches the Rfam family "Bacterial small subunit ribosomal RNA", at positions 30 to 526 of the family's 1533-position model. The record is from RNAcentral.
AUUGAACGCUGGCGGCAGGCCUAACACAUGCAAGUCGAGCGAGCGUCGGACGGGUGAGUAAUGUAUGGGGAUCUGCCCGCUAGAUGGGGAUAACUACUGGAAACGGUGGCUAUUGCCGCAUACUAUCGGAUGAUCACAUAUGGGAUUAGCUACUAGGUGGGGUAAAGGCUCACCUCGGCGACGAUCUCUAGCUGGUCUGAGAGGAUGAUCAGCCACACUGGGACUGAGACACGGCCCAGACUCCGACGGGAGGCAGCAGUGGGGAAUAUUGCACAAUGGGCGCAAGCCUGAUGCAGCCAUGCCGCGUGUAUGAAGAAGGCCUUAGGGUUGUAAAGUACUUUCAGCGGGGAGGCGUUACCCGCAGAAGAAGCACCGGCUAACUCCGUGCCAGCAGCCGCGGUAAUUC